This 251-nucleotide ribosomal RNA is filed under the name uncultured bacterium. Its description in RNAcentral is "partial 16S ribosomal RNA". It matches the Rfam family "Bacterial small subunit ribosomal RNA", at positions 525 to 775 of the family's 1533-position model. The record is from RNAcentral.
ACGGAGGAUCCGAGCGUUAUCCGGAUUUAUUGGGUUUAAAGGGAGCGUAGGCGGACGCUUAAGUCAGUUGUGAAAGUUUGCGGCUCAACCGUAAAAUUGCAGUUGAUACUGGGUGUCUUGAGUAUAGUAGAGGCAGGCGGAAUUCGUGGUGUAGCGGUGAAAUGCUUAGAUAUCACGAAGAACUCCGAUUGCGAAGGCAGCUUGCUGGACUGUAACUGACGCUGAUGCUCGAAAGUGUGGGUAUCAAACAG